GACGAGAAGCUUGCUUCUCUGAUGUUAGCGGCGGACGGGUGAGUAACACGUGGAUAACCUACCUAUAAGACUGGGAUAACUUCGGGAAACCGGAGCUAAUACCGGAUAAUAUUUUGAACCGCAUGGUUCAAAAGUGAAAGACGGUCUUGCUGUCACUUAUAGAUGGAUCCGCGCUGCAUUAGCUAGUUGGUAAGGUAACGGCUUACCAAGGCAACGAUGCAUAGCCGACCUGAGAGGGUGAUCGGCCACACUGGAACUGAGACACGGUCCAGACUCCUACGGGAGGCAGCAGUAGGGAAUCUUCCGCAAUGGGCGAAAGCCUGACGGAGCAACGCCGCGUGAGUGAUGAAGGUCUUCGGAUCGUAAAACUCUGUUAUUAGGGAAGAACAUAUGUGUAAGUAACUGUGCACAUCUUGACGGUACCUAAUCAGAAAGCCACGGCUAACUACGUGCCAGCAGCCGCGGUAAUACGUAGGUGGCAAGCGUUAUCCGGAAUUAUUGGGCGUAAAGCGCGCGUAGGCGG
Molecule: ribosomal RNA, 523 nt
Filed under: Staphylococcus argenteus
Lineage: Bacteria; Bacillati; Bacillota; Bacilli; Caryophanales; Staphylococcaceae
Description: bacterial SSU rRNA
Rfam family: Bacterial small subunit ribosomal RNA
Source: RNAcentral